This is a long non-coding RNA of Brachypodium distachyon (stiff brome), 697 nucleotides long. RefSeq lists it as uncharacterized. The transcript is spliced from 2 exons. The record is from RefSeq and is a predicted model, not a curated record. Lineage: Eukaryota; Viridiplantae; Streptophyta; Magnoliopsida; Poales; Poaceae.
UCGUUUCUUUUUCUAACCCGCGUCCACGACCGAGUGCCCGACCGAGCGGAUCCCCCGAAUCCAGAACACCCAGCCGCAGCCGCCGGCCCGCCACCUCUCUCCCCGGGCGCCGCCGCCACCUUCCUCUCAGGCCACCGGAGCCGCCGACCCCACCUCUCCCUGGACGUGGGCGCAUCCGCCUCUCCUUUCUCCCCUGCCGCCACCAUCUAAUUUCCCUGGACUCGCCGCCGCCGCCCCGAUCUGCGGCUACCGGCGCCGCUCCCUUCCUCCGGUCGGUGAAAUGGAGUCGCCGUGGUGCCUUACUGUGGAUACCAGUCCGCCGCCGUGGAACGGAGCCGCCCCGAGCUCCUGAGCAGCUCGUGGGGGGCUGCAUAGCUGCGUCCGGUCGGACGACUGGAUCUGAAGCAUGCGAGCACGGCCCCUUUGUCCAUGACGGCCAGGUAUGGGAUGAUUGGGGAUUCGUUGUCUAGUGGCUUGUGGUGGAGUUCCAUCAAGCAUUUUCAGAGGUGAUGUUCGGGAUUUGGCAUUUGGCAGCUUGUUAUUGUGCUCCAGGAUGUUAUGUACUCCGAUGGCUUCUAUGGUGUUGUUGUUGAUCUUGAAGGGGUCUCUGAUUGGAAGUUCAAUGUUUUUCUCUUUCUUUUUUUGUUUCAGAAACGAGUGAUAAUAUUAUUGGUAAUACGUUGUCAGCGUGCUUAAA